AUAACUUGUUUCACAGAAACCUGCUUUAUGGUUUUAGACAUUAGAUGUUUAGGUUGCAAGGGUUUACAGGUUUAAAUAGGAGGAAAGACUGAGACAGGCCUACAUCCA
Phyllostomus discolor (pale spear-nosed bat) is the source of this 108-nucleotide long non-coding RNA. RefSeq lists it as uncharacterized. The record is from RefSeq and is a predicted model, not a curated record. Lineage: Eukaryota; Metazoa; Chordata; Mammalia; Chiroptera; Phyllostomidae. The transcript is spliced from 3 exons.